CAACACAUGAGAUUUAAACAAAGAUCAAAACUUGGAGGUCCGCUGUGAUAGCUUGGUUUAAGAAGUGCAAUAUUAAAACAAAAGCCCUGAGUCUUUUAAGCCCAGUGUGUAAAGAUACCCUAUGAGUUAUCUUAAAGGCACAAUA
This is a non-coding RNA of Nycticebus coucang (slow loris), 145 nucleotides long. RefSeq annotates it as small Cajal body-specific RNA 1. NCBI's taxonomy places the organism in Eukaryota, Metazoa, Chordata, Mammalia, Primates, Lorisidae. The record is from RefSeq and is a predicted model, not a curated record. The transcript has a single exon.